This 369-nucleotide long non-coding RNA is filed under the name Zea mays. Its description in RNAcentral is "drought-responsive long non-coding RNA". Lineage: Eukaryota; Viridiplantae; Streptophyta; Magnoliopsida; Poales; Poaceae. The record is from RNAcentral.
AUGGUGGGGCAUAUGCACCAGGCUCGAUCGAUCUAUCCACAAUGGCACAGCGUGCAGACUGCAGGCUACAUUAAAGAAACUAGAAAAAAUAGCGCCCUAUCGGGCGCUGUAUCACCUAGCAUGGUUAAACAACCCGAGUCCAUGCUUAAUAACGCCUCCAGAACCUCACAGCGUCGUCAAGUCGUCAUGACAAAGCAGUGGCGCGUUCCGAGAGCUCGAGCAAACCAGGGGACGGCCUCGGCGGCAUUGCUUCUUCCUGUUCCUGGGCGUCCACCAUUUCCAAGAUCUUUCUUACGGUUGCCUGUAACCUCUCGUGACCACCUUCCAGUGUGGACUGACCAGCAGUUACGUUCGGUUGGAUGGCCAUAG